Molecule: ribosomal RNA, 475 nt
Filed under: uncultured bacterium
Lineage: Bacteria
Description: bacterial SSU rRNA
Rfam family: Bacterial small subunit ribosomal RNA
Source: RNAcentral
AGGACGAACGCUGGCGGCGUGCCUAACACAUGCAAGUCGAGCGAGGAGAUCCUUCGGGAUGAUCCUAGCGGCGGACGGGUGAGUAACACGUGGGCAACCUGCCUCAUAGAGAGGAAUAGCCUUCCGAAAGGGAGAUUAAUACCUCAUAACAUUGCAGUUUCGCAUGGAACAGCAAUUAAAGGAGCAAUCCGCUAUGAGAUGGGCCCGCGGCGCAUUAGCUAGUUGGUGAGGUAACGGCUCACCAAGGCGACGAUGCGUAGCCGACCUGAGAGGGUGAUCGGCCACAUUGGGACUGAGACACGGCCCAGACUCCUACGGGAGGCAGCAGUGGGGAAUAUUGCACAAUGGGGGAAACCCUGAUGCAGCCAACGCCGCGUGAGUGAUGACGGCCUUCGGGUUGUAAAGCUCUGUCUUCAGGGACGAUAAUGACGGUACCUGAGGAGAAAGCCACGGCUAACUACGUGCCAGCAGCUGC